Molecule: ribosomal RNA, 254 nt
Filed under: uncultured bacterium
Lineage: Bacteria
Description: partial 16S ribosomal RNA
Rfam family: Bacterial small subunit ribosomal RNA
Source: RNAcentral
CACGUAGGGGGCGAGCGUUGUCCGGAUUUAUUGGGCGUAAAGAGCUCGUAGGCGGCUCGGUAAGUCGGGUGUGAAACCUCCAGGCUCAACCUGGAGACGCCACCCGAUACUGCCGUGGCUAGAGUCCGGUAGAGGAGCGUAGAAUUCCUGGUGUAGCGGUGAAAUGCGCAGAUAUCAGGAAGAACACCCGUGGCGAAGGCGGUUCUCUGGGACGGUACUGACGCUGAGACGCGAAAGCGUGGGGAGCGAACAGG